Molecule: ribosomal RNA, 440 nt
Filed under: uncultured bacterium
Lineage: Bacteria
Description: partial 16S ribosomal RNA
Rfam family: Bacterial small subunit ribosomal RNA
Source: RNAcentral
CCUACGGGAGGCAGCAGUGGGGAAUAUUGCACAAUGGGGGGAACCCUGAUGCAGCGACGCCGCGUGAGUGAAGAAGUAUUUCUGUAUGUAAAGCUCUAUCAGCAGGGAAGAAGAUGACGGUACCUGACUAAGAAGCCCCGGCUAACUACGUGCCAGCAGCCGCGGUCAUACGUAGGGGGCAAGCGUUAUCCGGAUUUACUGGGUGUAAAGGGAGCGUAGACGGCAGGGCAAGUCUGGAGUGAAAGCCCGGGGCCCAACCCCGGGACUGCUUUGGAAACUGCCAUGCUAGAGUGCGGGAGAGGUAAGCGGAAUUCCUAGUGUAGCGGUGAAAUGCGUAGAUAUUAGGAGGAACACCAGUGGCGAAGGCGGCUUACUGGACAGUAACUGACGUUGAGGCUCGAAAGCGUGGGGAGCAAACAGGAUUAGAUACCCGAGUAGUC